Molecule: small nucleolar RNA, 84 nt
Organism: Octodon degus (degu)
Lineage: Eukaryota; Metazoa; Chordata; Mammalia; Rodentia; Octodontidae
Gene: SNORD86
Product: small nucleolar RNA, C/D box 86
Source: Ensembl
AAUCACAGUGAUGGCUGAUCAGGGCUCCCUGACCCAUGCAGACCUCUGGUGGGGGUGAUGGCCAGUCCUGGUGUCUGAGUGAUU